Molecule: non-coding RNA, 24 nt
Filed under: Arabidopsis thaliana (thale cress)
Lineage: Eukaryota; Viridiplantae; Streptophyta; Magnoliopsida; Brassicales; Brassicaceae
Source: RNAcentral
GUGUCAAGAUCUGCUUCAAUCUCC